This is a long non-coding RNA of Talpa occidentalis (Iberian mole), 3092 nucleotides long. RefSeq lists it as uncharacterized. The transcript is spliced from 3 exons. The record is from RefSeq and is a predicted model, not a curated record. NCBI's taxonomy places the organism in Eukaryota, Metazoa, Chordata, Mammalia, Eulipotyphla, Talpidae.
UCCCGGGGCCCGGGGCCUCCGCGGUCGCUGCCCCCCCACCCCCCGCGGGUUGCGAGCGGCCUUGUCGCCGAGGCUGGGCUUGGGAGUGUAAGCACAGCUGUCACGCGCAGUGACUCUGGUCUCUCCCAGGCAGUGUGUGGAGCGCUCUGGACAGGAGACUCCAGGACCCGGGACCAGCUGCCUCAGUCCUCUCCUGCAGGAUUCCAUCACCUCUCCCAGCGCCGCCUCCAGAGUCCUCUGGCAUCUUUGAGAGCAGUGGACAAUGGAUAAAUCUCUGAUUAUUUAUUUAUAGAAGAACCGGGGUACAGGCCAGAUGCAUGGGAGGGUGAGAGGAUUCACCAGAGACAGAGCGGGAAACAGAACAGGCAGAGUGACGAAGUACACUGCUGAGGGGAGCAGUGGGCACGACAGGAGAGGUCUGCUGCGCCAUGUGGACCCUUGCCAGCUCGCCGGAAUCGAACCGGUGCUGCAAAGCCUGCGGACAGCCUCACAGCACAAUGCUCAACCACCUGCGCCACCAGGGGAGGCCCGCUUUGCCCAUUUUUAAUUGACUCAUUGGUUGGUAUCUUGGAUUGGGUGGGAACUUCUUAUAAAUUUUGGGUUUUUUUAAUUUAUUUUUAUUUUUUGUUGUUAUUUAAAGAUUUAUUUAUUGAUGCGUACAAGAGCUUGGGUGCAAGACAGAGAUGCAGGAGUGAGAGCAUUCACCAGAGACAGAGUAGGGAGCAGAACAGGCAUAUGUACUGAAAUACACUGCUGAGGGGAGCCGCGAGUGAGACAGGAGAGGUCUGCUGCACCAUGUGGGUCAGCUCCCUGGACGGGGCUCAAACUCAUGCUGCAGUGACUGGGAAUAGCCUCUUAGCAUUGUGUCUUAACCCCUUGCGCCACAAGGGAGGCCCGGAUACAUUAUAAAUUUUGGAAUGAACUUGUCAGAUGUGUGACAUGCAAAUAUUUUUUGUAUUCUAUAGGGUGCCUUUCUGUUUCUGUGCUGGUUUCUUUUGAGUUCCAAAAGCUUUUAGGUUUGGUGUUGUCCCACGUGUUGAAUUUUGCUUUUCUUUCCCUUGGUGUUGGGGUUGUGUUCCUUAAUACAUUUUGUAGCAGCUGUCCUAUAGUGUACCCCUUAUUUGCUUUCAGUACUUCACGCUUUGGGCUCUUAUGUCCAAACGUUUCAGCCAUUUGGAAUCAGUUUUCUGUAUGGAGUUUUGAAUGGAUCUUGCUUCUUAGUUUUGCAAGUCACUAUGCGUAUUUCCCGACACCAUUUUUUGGGAAGAUAUAUUUAUGCAUGGAAGAACUGGGGUGUAGACCAGAUGUUCCGGGGUUGAGAGGGUUCACCAGAAAGAAAGUAAGGAGCAGAACAGAUAGAUCCACUGCAAUGCACUGCUGAGGGAAGCGAUGUGGGAGACAGGUGAGGUCUGCUAUGCCACAUGUGGGUCAGCUCUCUGGCCUGGAAUGGCCAUGCUAUAUAGCACUGACUCUUAACCCCUAGGCCGCCAGGGGGCCCCAUCCCAGUAUUAUUUAUUAAAGAGGCUGUCUUGUCUGAAUUGUAUGAUUUUAGCUCCUUUGUCCAAGAGGAACUCUUCGUAUUAUUUGCUCUCUGGGUUUUUAAUUGCCUUCCAUUGCUCUGAGUUCUGGUUUUGUUUCAGUAAAAUAAUGUUUUCAUUACCAUUGGCAUUUAAUAUAUUUUGAAGUCAGGAAGUAUGAUAGUUACCUUUCACUUUUUCUCCCAAGUUUUUUUUUUUGCUCUUUGGGACCUUCUGUGGGUUCAUGUAAAUGCAGUGAUUGUUCUCUUUCCUUACAAAAAAACCUCCUUGGUGUGUGGAUAGGUAUUGCAUUAAAUUUGUAAAUUGCUCUGGACAAUAAAGCCAUUUAUGAUGUUAAUUCUUCCCACCUAGGAGCGCAGGACAUCUUUCUAUUUCUUUGUAUUUUUUAUUUCCUUUACUAGAGUUUUAUAAUUUUCAGUGUUCAGGUCCUUCACCUCCUUCUUUAACUUUUUUUUUAAGAUUUAUUUAUUUAUGUAUACAAGAGCUGGGCUGCAGGCCAGAGGUAUGGCAGAGGGGGUUGUGUGAGAGGAUUCUCCAGAGACAGAGUAGGGAGCGGAACAGGCAGACUGACUGAAAUAUACUGCUGAGGGGAGCAGCGGGCGAGACAGGAGAGGUCUGCUGCGCCAUGUGGGUCACCUCUCUGGCCGGGGAUCAAACUCAUGCUGCAGUGGCUGCAGAUAGCUUCAUAGUGCUGCCUCUUAACCCCUUGUGCCACUAGAGAGGCCCCUCCUUCUUCAACUUGAAUGAAAUAAUCACAGCUAUUUCAUUCUCUUUGGUGUGAAUGUCAAUGGAAAUGCCAGUCUUUUCAUACACAUUCUCUUCAUAACUUGUUUAUACUUCCAGAGAAAUAAACAAAAAAUUUUAUCGUGUAUUCAAUUGUAAAAAAUGAUAACAUAGUUCAACAUAUAUAAUGGACACCAAGGGUUCAAAUAUGAUUGUUUUCUUGUUGUUGUUGUUCUGCUUAGUAUUUGAUCAUUAUCUACAAUUUCCUUCCAGUCUUUCAGGUCAGUCUACUAUGAAUUUUACAAUUGUCCUGCCUCCUUGCUGUACAAAUAUGUGCCCUGGGGACGAUUGGACAUCACUGAAAUUAUGGCAUCCACGGUGGUUCCGUGGGCGUAUGUGAUCUUCUGGGCUCAGUGGGUGCAUUAGACUGUUAUUGUGUAAACAUGGGUCUCACUCAUAAGGGCAUUCUUCUCUCUUAGAACCAGGUCUCCCUUUUUUAAGAUUUAUUUUAUUUAUUUAUAUAUAAACCAGAGGUCAGGGCAUUGGGUGCGGGAUGAGAUGAUUCAUCAGAGAUAAGAGUGGGGAGCAGAACAGGCAGAUCUACUGAAGUACACUGCUGAGGGGAGCAGCGGGGAGACAGGAGAGGUCUGCUGCGCCAUGUGAGUCAGAUCCCUGGUCAGGGAUCCAACUCAUCCUUCAGUGGUUGUCAUAGCUUCAUAGUACUGAGACUGAACCCUUUGUGCCACCAUGAGGGGACCCUCAAAACUCUCUUUUCACCUCAUACCCUAUUCAGAGCUCCGCUGGUGGCCACAUGGUAACUGUAUAUUUUGA